GUGAACGCUGGCGGUAGGCCUAACACAUGCAAGUCGAACGGCAGCACCGUAAGAGCUUGCUCUUACGGGUGGCGAGUGGCGGACGGGUGAGGAAUACAUCGGAAUCUACUUUUUCGUGGGGGAUGACGUAGGGAAACUUACGCUAAUACCGCAUACGACCUACGGGUGAAAGCAGGGGAUCUUCGGACCUUGCGCGAUUGAAUGAGCCGAUGUCGGAUUAGCUAGUUGGCGGGGUAAAGGCCCACCAAGGCGACGAUCCGUAGCUGGUCUGAGAGGAUGAUCAGCCACACUGGAACUGAGACACGGUCCAGACUCCUACGGGAGGCAGCAGUGGGGAAUAUUGGACAAUGGGCGCAAGCCUGAUCCAGCCAUACCGCGUGGGUGAAGAAGGCCUUCGGGUUGUAAAGCCCUUUUGUUGGGAAAGAAAAGCAGCAGGUUAAUACCCCGCUGUUCUGACGGUACCCAAAGAAUAAGCACCGGCUAACUUCGUG
This 491-nucleotide ribosomal RNA is filed under the name uncultured bacterium. Its description in RNAcentral is "partial 16S ribosomal RNA". It matches the Rfam family "Bacterial small subunit ribosomal RNA", at positions 29 to 507 of the family's 1533-position model. The record is from RNAcentral.